AUGGUCUGUACCUACAUGGAAGGGGAGAUGCUGCUAAACGAACUGCCUUUUCCUCUACCGACUCCCUCCAUUUUCAAUCUUGAUCAGAUCAAGGCACUCACCUUAGACAACCUAGUGUCUGAGAAUGGUGCAGCUCUCAGUUUUGCGGACCUGGAAAUCAAGCCUCUCAAGUUGAAGGGCUACCCUACCGAGUUCCUUGUCUGCUACAGGGAGGCCAUCUUUUGGCUCUACCAUCAGCGAGAAGAUGGGUAG
This 252-nucleotide ribosomal RNA is filed under the name Triticum aestivum (bread wheat). RNAcentral's name for it is "partial small subunit ribosomal RNA". Lineage: Eukaryota; Viridiplantae; Streptophyta; Magnoliopsida; Poales; Poaceae. The record is from RNAcentral.